CCCUUAUUGUCUGAAAAUGCAAAUUUCUUCUUGCCUGCACACAAUCUGAUAUUCUUUUUCCCUAUCAUCAUUUUGCAGGCGUAGGCGGAGAUGUGGUAGAAGACUAGAUCAAUCCUAAGGUAUUGUACAUUUGAAGAUCUUUUUUGUUUGUCUUGCUUUCCUUGAAGUGAUACUACUAUCCUGGUGCUGCUUUUAGGCAUUUCUAUUAUCUGGGAAUUUGCUUCCUUAUGAUAAGCUUUUGUUUCCUCCGGGAGAAAUGUUAUGAGACAUGGACAAUCCCAUGUAUUUUAGUCUGACGGAAGAAUGUUGUUGGAGUAUAUAUACCUACUGAAAUAUAUAUCUUUUAUGGCAACUUUACCAUUCACUUACAUAUGCUUGCUCUUAUCCCUGGUUUUUCAGUGAACUUUUGUCAGAUGACCAAAAGAAAGCUUGCUUUGUAUUUGUCUAUUAAUACAAAAAUAUUAAUUCUUCAUAAUGCAGGACAUAUCUGAGGCAAUCUUGCGCAAAUUCUGUUGGGUGAAGAAAUUCUAGGUCCAUGUACGCGAGGAUAUUAAGCACUGGUAAGAACGCUAACAAAUUCACAUGACCAGAAGAACGUCAAUUCAGCAUUACAUGCAUGCCGAAGAAGAUCAGCUUCUAUUUCUUGAAGAAAUAGAUCGACAAGUAAAGUAAGAAUUCAAGAUAACGACAUGACAAUUAACCAACCAGACGAAACAAGCAUAUUAUCCUCUGAUGAAGAAAUUGACAACAAGAGAUAAAGACCAAAGCAGAUUGUUUGCAAUACCAAUGAAAUAUAAUAUACUUUACUGGAUUAUCCUUUUUAUUUGCACAUGUUUGAGGUGUGCGUUUUAGGUGUGCUGCACCGGCUGUUGUUCCCGAUACGUUAUGUGGAUGGAUUAAAAACAACACCGGUCUUAGAUAUGUGGAGUGAGAGCACUCCUUAUUAUUGAGUUUGUAGGUGUGAGUGGUGGCUUUGGGUGGAUUGAUGUAUAUUCUUGUUAGACCUUUGUGGAAUAAUUAAUAAAAUGGCUGCAUGCAUCGAUUGAUGCAGAGGCCGGGGGUUUAACCUCUUUUUCUAAAUAAAAAAAAAUGUAUGGCAUCUAGCUAUGUGACAUAUUAUCAUAAUCCGGUAUCUACCUUGUUGUAUUUCUCUGUUCAUACACGUAUGUAUGCACCUAGCUAUGUAAUAUAAUCAAACAAUCCAUAUUAUCUAUUGUACCUUUCUCACACAAGCAUACAAUCUUUCCAUAAGCAUAUACCUGCUCAUGAAAAAUUCACAUAAAAAUGACCUAUCAAAACACAAUAUAUUAUGGUAGCAGACUCGAGAAACAAUAGAUUACGUUGCAAUCUAAGAAAUAAUGGACUAAGAUCAGGCGCGCACCUUUGCCUGCUAGUGUUUAUUAAAACUCAAGAUAGAUUCUCUUAUUGUGUCGUAAUCAGGUGUCGAACACUAUUGGUAGGCGAGUGUAUUGGACGUAAUUUAUUUGCUGAUGAUUGCAUAAAAAAUUAUGAGACACUUAACUUUCUAAUGAAUAAAUCUUCAGGUACAUAACGUCGGUGGUCAAGCCAUGUGUAUCAUCAGGAUGGAAGCGCACGGGUCCACCUCAGAUGGCGUCACAAGAUGGCGCCCCAGCCUCUAGUCAAGCUUCAAGCGAACAAUGAGUUGAGGUUAAUCGGCUAGGCCAACAGAAUCAAUCUGACGGCUAGCUAGGACCUGGAGAAAGAUAUCAUCUUCACGUGAGGAAGAGAUAUUCAUUGCGGCCAUAAUACGGAGUACAUAGCGUCGCAUUUUUAAAGAUGCUCAUUAUAACAAGCCUUAUCAUAAAAGGCUUACUAUUUUCUUUAUAAUAGGUGCUACAACUUCUAGGCUCGUCAUUGUUCGGUAUCUUUCGUGGGCAAUGCCGUGUAGAACUCGACAAGCAUUCCACGGUAGUGCUUGGAUAACUAGGAAUGGAAGGCCUAGGGGAAUUAGACUACAGCAGUGUCUAGAAUGGCUGUGAGUCCCGGCGUGUUGGAAGUUGCACAAUCUAUAAACCAUGUGCAACGCAACAAAGAUUGUGUAGGAGGUACAGUGUAGAAGUAGACCUUGUUGAAUUGCCAAUCACGUUUUGACGUUGAUUGGGAUCCCAACGUUGUUGGCCUUGUUGCAACAAGCUGGGACUGAACCUCCUCUACUCACGUUUCCAUCAGCGUUUAAAAAUAAAAGAAAACAUGCUAAUAUAACUUAAGGCAUUCUUACACAUGUAAGCAGAGUUUCGAACAUGUAACACAUUCUGUGGUAGAAAAAUAGGUACAACAAGAACAAGAUGGCUGCUGAGAUCCACUCGUUGGCGCUCGACUAGACCUCACUAAUUGUACUUCUGGCAUGUCAGAGAGGUUACAAUCAUCAUAAUCAAUUUUAGCUGCAACGUAAAAGAACAACCAAUACUAUCAAUCAUUUUAGGCCUGUACCAAUGCAAGUCUCAU
RNAcentral lists this long non-coding RNA (2466 nucleotides) under Hordeum vulgare. Its description in RNAcentral is "long non-coding RNA (HVUL_LNC017917)". Lineage: Eukaryota; Viridiplantae; Streptophyta; Magnoliopsida; Poales; Poaceae. The record is from RNAcentral.